AUUGAACGCUGGCGGCAGGCUUAACACAUGCAAGUCGAGCGGAGAUGAGGUGCUUGCACCUUAUCUUAGCGGCGGACGGGUGAGUAAUGCUUAGGAAUCUGCCUAUUAGUGGGGGACAACAUCCGAAAGGAAUGCUAAUACCGCAUACGUCCUACGGGAGAAAGCAGGGGAUCUUCGGACCUUGCGCUAAUAGAUGAGCCUAAGUCGGAUUAGCUAGUUGGUGGGGUAAAGGCCUAACAAGGCGACGAUCUGUAGCGGGUCUGAGAGGAUGAUCCGCCACUGGGAAUGGAAAACGGCCCAGACUCCUACUGGAGGCAGCAGUGGGGAAUAUUGGACAAUGGGGGGAACCCUGAUCCAGCCAUGCCGCGUGUGUGAAGAAGGCCUUAUGGUUGUAAAGCACUUUAAGCGAGGAGGAGGCUACUGAGACUAAUACUCUUGGAUAGUGGACGUUACUCGCAGAAUAAGCACCGGCUAACUCUGUGCCAGCCGCCGCCGUAA
RNAcentral lists this ribosomal RNA (498 nucleotides) under uncultured bacterium. RNAcentral describes it as "partial 16S ribosomal RNA". It matches the Rfam family "Bacterial small subunit ribosomal RNA", at positions 30 to 523 of the family's 1533-position model. The record is from RNAcentral.